UGUCAUGAUCUUCAUUUUUUUGAAUGUUCAAAGUGUAGACAUGAACCCCAGUUAUUCUCAUAUUUCUUUUAAAAAAAAAAAUUGAAUGUUAGCGUUUGAUGCCUGCAUUCUGCUGAAUCUGAAUUCUUGAACCACUUACAGAAGAUGGUUUCACCUGGGUCAUGGGUGUAUUUCUGUUGUGGCACCAAUGCCUGGUCAGAGUAGGUGCUCUGCAAUAACUUUUGAAGUGACCGAAGAUGAGAAGUAAAUUCCAUUUGUGGAGGGAACUGGGAAAAUCAAGUUCUGAGUCCUAUUUGAAGCCAGGCUGUGACAGUUGAAUCAGGAUGAAAACCUGGAUUCCACCUUCUGGAUCAGGGGUUCAGAACAGACAAAAAGUGAAAGAAGUGAGACCUCAGGGCUGGGCUGAGAUGUCAUCGUUGCCAGGUCAACGGAGGGGCCACCCCCUUGCUGCGGGUCCAUGGCCUGGGAACCCAGCGGGACAGCGGCAACCCCCAGGGACCACAUUCUAUUUGUCCUCUAGGGCCCCAUGGUCUCCUCAUCCGUACAGGGCUGGUGCGGGGUUCUGGGUGCUCAGAGCUACAGACAUACCUCCCAUCCUCUCUGCACUUCUCUGCCUUGGCCAGAUGUGGAGGGCAGGAGGGCACUGCAGGAGGGCACAGGACGCCCACCCUCCCUCCAGUUCACAGGAACCUCAGGGCUUGGGCAGCUGGAGAGCCAGGGAUCCUGACUGGAAGAGAAUCAGCCCAGGCUUUCGCUGGCAAAUCUCUCACUUCCAGGGCUGUGUCUGGGCCAGAGGACCCUGAAUGGUGCAGGGAACUUCCAGAAACCCACCAUCUCAGCUGAGACUCUUUUAGGCAGCUUCAGAGUGCCCAUGUGAAUACACUGUAUGCAGAGUUGGAAUGUGCAACUCUAACCCUUGGGCUCUGCUGUCUGUGCUUACUCAUGCUGGCUCUUUGGUAAAAGAACGUUGCCAUGAGCUUGGAAUAGAGGAGAACCCAUUCUCAAGGCUGGAGAAGUCAACGGCAACACACUCUAGUAUUCUUGCCUGGAGAACUCCAUGGACAAGGAGCCUGGUGGGCUACAAUCGAUAGGGUCACAGAGUCGGACGUGACUGAGGGACUAAGACUAUUCUCAAGGCUCUGGACUUGAAAGGUAUGACACUUUCCCAUUCGUACAGAGAUAAAAAUUUGCAGAACAGACAGAAACUUUUGUCUUCCUGGGGGCUUAAAGGGAUAUUAUGACCAGACCUACAUGGAACGCUUUGAAAACCAAGGAUUUAGCAUUAAAAGUUUUCCACAGUGGAGUGGACAUAAUUAUACCUAUGGCUGAUCUGUGUUGAUGUAUGGUAGAAGCCAUCACAGUAUUGUAAUUGUCCCUUCAUUAAAAAUAAAUAAGUUAAGGGGAAACAA
This is a long non-coding RNA of Dama dama (fallow deer), 1409 nucleotides long. RefSeq lists it as uncharacterized. The transcript is spliced from 3 exons. Lineage: Eukaryota; Metazoa; Chordata; Mammalia; Artiodactyla; Cervidae. The record is from RefSeq and is a predicted model, not a curated record.